RNAcentral lists this long non-coding RNA (290 nucleotides) under Rattus norvegicus (Norway rat). Its description in RNAcentral is "long non-coding RNA NONRATT022442". Lineage: Eukaryota; Metazoa; Chordata; Mammalia; Rodentia; Muridae. The record is from RNAcentral.
AAAUCUGUAAGCCAGCCCCAACUAAAUGUUGUCCUUUAUAAGACUUGCUUUGGUCAUGGUAUCUGUUCACAGCAGUAAAAUCCUAAGACACCAACCUAAUGUGGCAAUAGCUCGUAAGGCCUUCUCUCCUCAACCUACAUCAGCCCUUCUCAACCUGUGGGUCACGACCCCUUUGGGGGUGGGAACAGCUCUUUCACAGGGGACGCCUAAGACCAUCAGAAAACACAGAUAUUUACAUUACGAUUCAUAGCAGUAGCAAAAUUACAGUUAUAAAGUAACAAUAAAAAAAA